AAUACCAUUCAUAUGAGAGUUGCAAAAUCCGAGAGCUUACUCGGCCCUCACGCAGCUAAGUAAUGGUACUAGAACAGAGAGCUAAAUCUGCAAAACUACAGAUUUUUCACUUGUUACCGAUAUGAGAAUGGAGUAUCGGUACCCAGUUCUGUGGAGUUUGGGAGAACUCUUGGAUUUUGCGGACCUCCCGCGAGUACAAGCAAUGAUUCGUGGUGUACCGAUACUUAUUCGGGCAUGUAUCGAUACACAAUAGAAAACAUAAAAAAUCAAUGUUCGGCAUCUACAAAAUUAGCUUGGAGUAUCGGAACGCUUGAGUACUCAACUCUAUGAAGUAGAGGUGAGGUUGCUUAGAUGUCCAUAUAGAACGGAGAGAGAUACAGCAAUUGUGUCACGCCCCGGGGCCGAUUUUAAAAGCCUUUUUAAAAUAGAGUUGCGGAAAACGUGCCCUUUUUUUUUCUUUUUUUUCAACCUGGCCCACGCGACGUACAGACCCGCCACAAAUACAAAGUUCCUCUGUCCACUCGGGCAGAGUCUCCUUUGUAUUUGCACGGCGUACCAACGAUACAACGGGAUCACAACCACAAUCUACAUUUACCAAUCAACAACCAAGGCAUGAUAUGCAUUUCCAUACAGCUAACAAUCCUUAGAAUGAUGCAUGCCUCUAAACACUCCUUAGGCGCUGGAUGAUGCAAUGCACAAUACAACAAACAUCCUAUUUAAAAGUGCUCCCCACACGGAAGCUUUUGUUUUUAAACUCUAAUUCAUUCNGCGCCAUUAGUUCCAGAAUAGCUGAACCGGUCGAAACGAGCUAUUGGACUGCUAUGAACAGAGUCCGGUACGAGCCAGAAGCCAACUUCUCACCGCGGCUUCUCCGGAAAAACGAGUUACUAUUCACUUUAAGUGAAAACUAAUAAUCGCGUAACUUCUCCGUUUUAGCUCAGUUUCUCCUGAAACUUGACGAGUGCUUAUGUAAUUAAAUUACACACAUAAACAUCAUCAACAGAGAGUUUAGCUACACUGCAAAAAUCUCAGUCCUUACAAAUUGCAUGCACCUUGUGCAUGGUUGCAUGAGUGAGUAGUCUUCUAUAAUUUAUAGAAGACGAGAGAGGGGUGAUAGAUUCAAAAAACAGGCUCGAUUGAAACUACUCUAUAUAGAAGAGGAGCCAAGUGUAAUUCUUCUCUUGGUUAGUGAACUUAUUUCACCUGUAGUUGUCCUUUCUUUCUUUUUUGGUUGUGCUAGAAAUAGUUUUUUGUUGAAGAGAUGAGUUUAUAGUAAAAAUUCAAUUUGACGUUUCCGUUGCGAAAUUCCAACAACUUGUGCCGGAGUGAGUACCGGCUCAACAGUAGUCGAUAUCUGAGCGGAUUUCAUAUUCACAAAAUUUGGUAUCUGAGCAAGUACCAGAUUCCCAACACAUUCGUAAUAACAGUUCACAUUUAUAUAUGUUGUCAUAUACGCUUAUGUUC
Molecule: long non-coding RNA, 1464 nt
Filed under: Ananas comosus (pineapple)
Lineage: Eukaryota; Viridiplantae; Streptophyta; Magnoliopsida; Poales; Bromeliaceae
Description: long non-coding RNA (ACOM_LNC033511)
Source: RNAcentral